AUGGCUAGUUCUUUGGUGAUAUACCAUUCCUUUCUAUCUCUGUUUACAGACUCCUCCCAUGUCAAGUUUGGUCUACAUCCACCUCUCUUGCAUUAUGAGCACGCUUUAACCGUCCGCUAUACAUUGGAGCUUCUGAGGCCUCGGUUGCAUAUUCCAAAAUCAUCUCAGAAGAUGUUGGAGAAGCUUCUUUUCAAUCGGUGCUACCGCAACUCUCUCAUGUAUAUCAUCAUUCCGGUCCUUUAUAUCUCUCUUUGCGGAUUCCUCCCAUGUCAAGUUUGGUCUACCAUGACCUCUCUUGCAUUAUCAACACACUUUAACCGUCCGCUAUACAUUGGAGCUUUUGAGGUCCGAGUUGUAUAUAUGCCCAAACCAUCUUAG
This 378-nucleotide ribosomal RNA is filed under the name Triticum aestivum (bread wheat). RNAcentral describes it as "partial small subunit ribosomal RNA". The record is from RNAcentral. Lineage: Eukaryota; Viridiplantae; Streptophyta; Magnoliopsida; Poales; Poaceae.